Molecule: long non-coding RNA, 701 nt
Organism: Engraulis encrasicolus (European anchovy)
Lineage: Eukaryota; Metazoa; Chordata; Actinopteri; Clupeiformes; Engraulidae
Exons: 3
Source: RefSeq, a predicted model, not a curated record
GGACAAAAGGUCCACGAGCGCCACUUACUGCCCACGCGAGGUAUUUUAUUCUGCGCGCGCGUGUAGACACUCUCGCGCGCGCGAUUUUGCUCUGCGCGCGCGCGCAAACGCUGCCACGCGCGCGCAAACACCGUCUCACGCGCGAGAGGUGACAUGAAUUUCCUCACGCGCGCGAGCAGAAAUAUGAAUAUUUAAAUAAUCUCCUCCCACUGAUUAGCAUAACCAACGAGGCGGAAGUUUGUUUAGUCUGAAAUAAUCAGACACAGAUCUCAAGAGCAAUUGUUGAUAUCGUUGCUACAGUAACUGCAGCUGGCGUUUACUGACGAGUGGAAUGACUGAAGGUUGCACCUCUAUUGCUUACCCAUUUUUAUGAAAACAUUGUUUUUUAAUUGUUUAUUUCAUGGGCGAACUUGUUGAGAUUCGCAGACAGCAGAUGAGGAAUAAAUUGCUGAUCGGCGGCCCUUGUACGGAGGUUGUCACACACAGCCAACAAAACCACAUGGGCAACAUGGAAGAGGAAAAAUCAGGCAUACUGCAUAUCGGCAGUUGGUGAGAUGGCGUGGGAGUUCGUAGGCUAUGUUUGGGUUCCACUGCAAUCCUGUGCCGUCACAAAGAUCUGGCAGAUCUUUAAAUCCACACAUCGUACAGGUUUCCAGGAUGUGAUUUAUUUGUGGCAAAUAAAAGACAGUACACCUGAAUCA